Molecule: long non-coding RNA, 778 nt
Organism: Sinocyclocheilus grahami
Lineage: Eukaryota; Metazoa; Chordata; Actinopteri; Cypriniformes; Cyprinidae
Exons: 4
Source: RefSeq, a predicted model, not a curated record
GGCUCGUUUCGCGGAAGAUUAGGUCGUUAGCUGGUUGUCUACGAUACUGUUAUUAGAAAGAUGUGUCAUUUGUGUUUUAAGAACGUUUAGCUCAGGAGUUAUUGAUCAGGUAAGUUUGAAUCUGUGAAUAUGUUGCCAACUUUACCGAACUUCGACGCAUAGUGCAAUAUUUUAAUCAGUUUUUAUAAUCAUAAUCGUAGGCGUCGUCUAAAAGCUCUAAAAUGCUAUUUGCUAUUUUAAACGGAUUCAUUAGGACCAGCGCUUAAAGUGACCCAACCCCUCCCAGCGCCAUUUGAACGUUAGUAACUUUAUGUUCGUCUGCACUUUUUCCCUCUUCAAGCACUGGUUAUUACGCCUGUAUAAUGAAAUUCGCUUAACUAACAUUAAUUGGACUGCACGUUUUACUUUCAGAUAUAAUCACACUGAUGAUCUGAACAAUGCGAGAGAGAGGACUAGAUGUUCCAUGAAGUGGAUCAGACAGCCUUGCCCUCUGAAGUAGACCAUGCCAAACUUCCAAGUACACCCUGCGUAAUUGUGUGUGGAAGUUCCCCUUUGACUGCAGAGAACUUUGAUUUCUGUCGACCAAGUCAUAGUUAACAGCCACAUCACCAUCUUCUGCGAUGCUCUGAAGUUUGAUGUUUGCCUCAUACUACUGCUUGAAUAUUUCAUACUCAGGAGACCAAGGAGCAACGCUAGAGUUCGUGCAAAGAUGCCUUUUUAAGAUAAACCCCGAGAAGGGAUCGAAAGUGGAGAAGACCACAUCGAGAAAGCAAUCGGC